UUUUUUUUUUUUUUUUUUUUUUGGGUAUGACAGAAUGUCUUUCCUAUGAGAGAAAACAACUACUACUAACCUGAAUUGCACAUAGUUGACAUCAUUCUCAUGGCCAGCUAGCAAAUCAAUCUCAUGACUAGGUUGCUCUGGAUCAUCUGAAUUGGAUUUACAAGCACUCCACACCUAGAAACAGCCAUGUAUUAGGGCACUUCAAUCCAAAUACAUCCAUUGGAAUUCUCUGCUUACUGAUAAAGACUACAUGAUCAUGUAAAACAACAGUCCAAAAUGCACAUAGAUUUUUAUUAUGUGUCUGGUAUUUUUGAAAAAUUCACUCUUCUUAAGUGCCCGUAACAGGUGUACAAAUUAUUGUCAACGCAGAUGAGUUCCACAUCUUAAAUACUCAAAUAGAACUUUAAAAAAUAUGGAGAACAAAUUUUUAGCUGUUCAAUAAAUAUGGAAUAUCAAAGUCUUGUUGAGCAUUAGACUAGACAAGUACAAUGUUUCACAUGUAGGUUAGCAUCUAUCUAAAAAGAAACAAGUAAACAUGCACAUAUAGGUAUCCAACACAUACAGUUGCUUUAAAUUUCCUGAAAGGCAUCUACGAUGGGUGAUUUUACAUGAAGUGUUCUUAAAGCAGGGCAUUAGAGGUAUUCCAGCCAUUUUGACCAAGGAUUAAGGAACCAGCUGGAUGGCUGGCCCAAUGCACCAGAAUACAAAGCGCAUGCAUUUUCUCUUCAGAUUUGGGCUUCAAAAUUCCAGUAAAACAUUGCCUAGAAUUGCAAGAUUUACAUGUUGCGUUUCCUGACUUCUCUUCAACUAGAUUUAUUCCCAAGUUUCACAACUACUGAAGCCAAACUAGACAGUUUCUAUUUACUUAAUCUGGCUACAUGAAAGCAUAGAAUACAUAAGCCUCUUUUAUCUUUGUACCCUAGCAUGAGUAUCAGAGCUUCCAGUGACAAAGACAGUUCCAUUCGCAUUGUAGGCACAGCAUAAGAUUUGAUGGCACUGGGAUACAUUACUUGAGGAAGGCACAUUAGCCAAAGGGAGGCUGCUUGUCUUCCCUGCAUCAAUUCUUAGGACAAUGAACACUCUGGCAACCAAUUGGCAUAGAAAAUACAACUAAGAAAUAAAAAAGUAGUCUUCUAACCAGAAACAACUUCCAAUGGCGUUGGCAAGUAAACACGUGGACUACAAUCUGAGGAUCUUGCAUCCCAGAUCCUGCAAGUCCCAUCAUCUGAAGACCUACAGAGAUUAAAAACCAGCAAAGACAAUGAAACUCAUGUGAGCCAGACCAAUUACCUUCCAAGCAUCAGUUUGUUUUUCAGCAGAUAAAUUUCAAUCAAAGUAGAAUUGUUCACACAUGAUAAUUUUCUAAAGAAGAUGCCACCGCAAAAGCACAUGCUUCCAGAAUAGUACAGUUGAAAGUAAAUGGCACUGAACACCUUGCCCAACCACACAUUGUCAUCCAUGAAGUGUCAAAAUGAGAACUAUCUCACUGCAGGCAUAAGACAAGCACCAGAUAGAUAAAGUAAAGGAGGCAGCCUAUGUGAGCCCAACUGCUCUGUGUGGGUGUGUGUGUGUAAAACAGAUAGAGACAGAGAUAUAUAGAUAGAUAGAUAAUUAGAUAGACAACUAGAUAGAUUUUGACAAAAAAAAAAAGAGAGAUAGACAACUAGAUAGAUAGGCAGGUAGGUGGGUAUAUAGAUAGAUAGUCAGAGAGAGAGAGGAUUCAGAAUAAAUCUGAAGAAAGACUAAUUCCAAAGAUGGUCAAUACUUCAAUUUCAACACAAUGUACACAUCCAAAAGCACAUUAUGAAAGUCUUGAUAACGUCGCCGAGCUAAAAGAUAACAUGCAACAAUAGUGCUUACAAGGAAUGAAUCCGAAACUAAACAAUCAUGAUAAGAAAUGGAAACAAGUUGCAAGAGCUAGAACUCCUUUAGUAUUACUCUGACCAAAUAGGUGCCGAGAUGUACCAGUUGUACAUUUUGACAUAGUCAUUUAUCCACAUCUUAUUGCAGUUCUUAAGGAUAAGAAUUGACACAACUAUCUAUAAAAAUCAACCAUUUAAAAGCCUGGAAUGAAACACUAAGAAAUGUGAGCCAACAAUACUUAAAUUCAGGUCCUAAUUCCCGCAAGUCUUUCCUGUUCUUGUGAGCCUAAAGUUUAAUACAUCUCCUAGGAGGUUUGCAUGGUUUGUCUAUAACUAACAGUAAGGAUCUAAGAUCCACCAGAGAGGAUGCUCUAUCACAGCAUCCAAAGGCAUCUGGUAUUAACUGAAGGAAGAAAAUCACAAGGAUCUACCAAAGUGAGAUUAGAUUAAUCAUCAAAAAUGGAAAAGAAAUCAGGAACAGAGAUUAAAUCAGUCAGAAGGGCUCACGAUAAAAGUUGAUAGACAGAGCUAGGCCUGGGACUGAAUGCAAUGGCAGUAACAGCUCCUGUAUGUCCUUGCAGAACUGAAAUUGGAAAUCCAUCUGGCAAUCGCCACUGUAGUACACAAGACAAACUACUUUGAAAAAAGUGAAGGAUGGCAGAUCUCUUUGUUGAGCAAAGAUAGAUCACUCAAAUAGAGAAGAAACUUACAACACGAAUGCUGUAGUCAUUGGAAGCAGAUGCUACUAAUAUAUUGUUUGAGCUAACAGCUAAGUCAGUUAUGUCACCCUUUAAUAAGAAAAACAAACGAGUUAAAUCACUAUGAGAACAUAUAAUUGGAUCAAAGGCAAACCAGGAGUCAAAAAAACUUCAGCAAAGUAUUUCACAUCCACAUCGUCCAACUUACUUCAUGACCUCGACAACUGGCUAGACAAAAUGCAGUUUCCAUGGACCAUAUCUUGACAAGACGAUCAUCUGACCCAGUAAUGACAUAUCUUCCAGAGCGAUCAAAUAUUGCUAGAGUACAAAGAAGUUGUCAAUAGAAUUGCUUUAUAUAGAUUAGCAUUAUUUGCUAACAUCAAAAUACUAAAGAAGCUCAGAAGGAGAGACAAGCAGUGAAAGGAGCCAAUAUGUGAAAGUUUAACAUUCAAAAUCCUAACAAUACGUCAUUUUCAUAGACAAUAUGAUUUCAAGAGAUAUAAGAUGUUCAUGCAAAGAUCAGAAUAGAGGUAUCACACCACAAUACACAGCAUCUCUGUGUCCCCUUAGUUUCUUUAUAUUUUGCAUCUUCUGCACCAUCAUUGACGGCUUAGCUACAGCAUAAGAGGCAAAGCGAACUGAUGGAGCCCGAUGGUGUUUUGAAAAACCACCCCCAAUUUCUCUCAAACUUAGUCCACGGACCUGAUCUGCCAGCAUGUGAGGCCAACGGAGAUAAGAAGCAACAUGUUUUACUUGCUUGCUGACACUAUUUCUAUCACCUGUAGAAACAGUACAGCCACAUUUUACAUACUUAUAAGACUAGCAAAACACAUUGUCAGAACAAAGGCCAAAUAUCUUAUUGGAAAUACUUAUCAAGUACAUUAAAGAGAAGAAAUAGACAAUUAUGCCCUACAAGAAACCAUAGCGAAGAAACGUGCAUAUAGGGCCAGCAAUGGACACGAGGAAUUUCAAGCUACCAGCUACUAAGGCAGCCUUCCUAUGGCUGCUCAAGAUAUGCGAGGAACAAAGAACACUAGUAGGAACUAUAUUAAGCCACAUAAUUUCUAUUCAACCUCUAUCCUACUGUAUUCUGUGCUCUCCCUUAAUCUUUACAUGGUACAGAAAAUCGGUCAACAUUAAAUUCGGCCAGCACUAAACAGCACCUAGUCCAUGAAAACUUUUGAUAUUACCCAAGGAAUCAUUCAACAUGAGAUCAGCCCCCACACUGCAAAAGAGUGAGGAUUGUAAUAAAUGAUUGGAAAUAAUGGUUUAAAGUUCAACAAGUUUCUUAUAGAGGGAUAUCCAAAAACCAUCCUUAACAAGCAACUACCAAGCCCAAAAAAUUUCCCUCUACAUAUUCUUACUUUAUCAGCUAUUGCAGAGAAAAAAUCUAAGCAAUGAUGCAAUUCAGUAUCAACUAAGUGAAUUUACACAUCUGUGCUGCAGUCUUGUGGGCGUGUGUGUGUAUGGCACGUGUGUGUGUGAGGGGGAGAGAGACAAACAGACAUGCACACACAGAGGGAGAGAGAAAGAAAUACAGGAAAGCUACAUACUGCAUAAAAGAGAAAAGGAGCCAGUUCCAAGAAGAGUGGGCACAUCACUAGCACUUGGAACAGUUCUUCCAACAAUGCAAGGUAAUGGAGUCGAAGUGUUCAACAUCAGUUGUCUAAGCAGCUUUACCAGGUGAUCAUCUUCAAUGUGAGGAAACCUAAUUGUCAUAGAAAUUCAAAGAUUAUACCUUCCCGAAACAGAUAUCAAAAGAAUGGAAAAGUGGCUGUUCUCUUCAGGAGUUUCUUUGUACUAUUCUUCUUUUACAAUUGAUUCAAGAUCCAAGAAAUUGCUCAAGGAUAGAAAUUGUAUAUUACCAAAUACAACUUUACAAACGCAGGCAAAAAGAAAAAGAAUAAAUUUUACAGCAAUGGCCCAAAUUCCACAGCAGCACCAGUAUUUCAAUAUCAGAAAUGGUUUCUAGAAGAUUUGAAAUAAAUAUUUUGUCCCCCCCCCCUCCCCCCAAAAAACGUAAGGCUUUAACAUGCAUUAUGACAUAACUUGAAAUGGCAAACAGUAGUAGAAUGAUAAAAAGGAACAAUAGCAGCAUCUUGGAUGAAUCACGUACUAUAUCUCUAAAAGAGAUACAAGUUUCAAGCAACACAAAAACAGUGUCUAUCAAUUGCACACUAAUUCAGAAAAGGCUACCAAUAAACAAUCAAUGAACAUUUACCUCUUGACGAGAUUAUCAUAGUUUAAAGGGAAAGAUACGCCAUCAUCAUUUUCGUGACCGCUUUGUGCUCCGCUUCUUGAAUACCAAGCAUGAUAUCUCCUUGGUAGAAGUUCAUGUUCUAAAAGUUCAUCUAAAAUUUGUGUAAAAGUUUUUUGGCAUGGCCCAGUUGAUAAAAAUCGCAUAAUCAGAAAAUAAACUUCUCUAAUGUCAACAUCUACAUUCGCUGCAGCAAGAUGAUUAUCAGAACCCUCCUGCUCUUCCAAUCGAGAGACUGCAUGGACCUUAUUAACAAAAUUCAAAGGGGCCAUUUUUGUAGAAGGCACGUCGCUCCAAGAUGGGCACUUCUGAAAAUCCAUACACUAUCAUAAGCAGAACCAUAAAAGCAAAAAUACAUUAAGAAUAUGCCUUUCAUAAUGUGAACUUCUCAUAGCUAAAGAAGCAUUAAAUUCAAAACAAUGAUACCAUGUAAUCAAUAAUGAAGGGUUUUUGUAAUUUAGCAGUUAACAGGUGCUCACAUGCUCCACGUCAUAGCAAAGUAGCAUUUUCAGCGAACCAAAAAGAAAUUAAGGUUGGAAAGUCGGUGCUUACAUAUCUACUUAAAAUCUUCUCAAGGAAAAAAAAACAAUGUCUGCGCAUUGUACUCGAAAUAACAGUUUAAAGGAAAAAAGUAAUGAUCAAGAGUUCCAUACCAGAGUACAGGCUUGUGAAGGAAAAGAAAGGAUGUUCUCAUCUCAUUGAAUGGUUUCUAAGAGUAGCAAAGGAAUAACCUAAAUUGAACAGUCAAUCAUCUGCUUACAAGCCAACCCUAAACCCUAUUAUCUUUCCCAGCUUCAGAAUGAAAGACCUUUAAACCCAAUUCAUUGUAGACCAUGAGAUAAUUCAAGCUACCAAUAUGAACAUAUAGACACAAAUUCUUAUUGGCUUGCUAAACCUGCAUAUGUAUAUGAACAUUGUCGUUCAUAGUUUCAGUCUUCGUCCUUACAAAACAAUCCCUGCAUAUAAAUCUAAUCAUCCCUUUUUCAAGUUUAUCCAUCUUCAUCCAUGAGCAGCAUUAGUCAAAACAAAGAAUGUGCUAAACUAUUAGCAGGAGUAGAAACUACAGCUGUUAAGAAAUUCCAAACGCAUAGGAACUGGCCAAUAUAAAUCUUUCCCUCGAGCUCAGAGGAACUCAACUAUCAUUCAAGUGAUUAAAAAGGACCAACAAAAAAAAAAGAGUGCCAGUAACUUACUAGAUGAAACAGGAAAGACAAAUGGAUACCUCAAUCACAAUUCAGCUGCCGUCAAGCAAAAAUUGAAGUUAAACAACCAAUGCGCUACACAUGAAUCUUAAGUUAAAACCUACUUUGACAGGCUGGUAAAGUUAACCACCGACCCAGACUAGAAAUAAAUGAUAAGAGGACGAAGAAAAGGGAAAAAGAAAAGAGCACAGGCGAGGGGAAAAAAAAAAAGGAAAGUUAGAUUGUCCAAAAUGUAUCCAAGAUAUCGGGAGAAGAAGUUAAAUCAGUAGCCAAAGAACCCUAAUUUCCAUUCAUGAAGAGUUACUGAUAUAAGGCAAAUUGGAGAAGGAAAAAAGAAAAGAAAUGAGGAAGAAGAUGCUUAAGAUGCUGUGGUUGAAUAAUUUCUCAUACCUUUCUCUACAAGAAUAGUUGGUGAAAGGGAGAAAAAGAUGGUUGAAUUGAUAUUGGUGUUUCUUUAGCAUCCGAAAACAAGCUUGUUCAGAUGAACGCAGUGAACACCUCUCUCCUCACCUCGUCUUUUUUAGCUAUGUCCGUCCAUCUCUCUAUGGAUACAACAAAUAGCAUACGGGUUUUUGCCCCGAGAGAGAGAGAGAGAGAGAGAGAUCGUGAGAGACGGCGCAAAAGGGAGGUGGGUUCAGAUUUAUUUGGAAAUAAUCGUAAUAAGAAAAACGUUAUUUGCACUUCCAUCUUUUCUCAUUUGCAGUUUUGCUGCUUUUGCACUCCCAUUAUUAUUUUAAUUAUAUAACAGUUUUCAUUUUAAUUAUAUCAUUUUAUGUACAAAUAACAAAAAAAUAGAGUGUCAGUAAUAUUUUCUUAAUAAUAAUAACAGUCUCUUCAACGAGUGCUCAAUAGAUUUCAGGCGUUCAUACUUUUGAAAAGUAACGCUGAUUAGAAAAAAAAUAUAAAUGUAAAAUAAAAUAAUAAUUAUUAGUAUACGAAUUCAUAUAACAAAUUAAGGGUGAUCUAAAUACACUAACCUAUAUCUAUACAAUAUAUAUAAUACCUCAGGAAUGGCAUUUGGUGUAAAUAUUUUUGUCAUCUUUGAAUUUUUAAUUUUACUCUUAUAAAAAUUACUUUUUAUGCUAAUCACACAUUUCACUAAUAUAAAAAACACCCUAAUUAUUUUAUCUACCAAAUUACUAUAAUCAUCAUGUAAACCAAAAGUAAGUUCUUUUGAUGAAAAUUUCAUGUAAAAUUUUUUAUAAUAUGUAACAAACAAAAUUUAUAUAAAAUUGAUUUAUUUUAUAAUGUGCCCUCAGUACUAGAAGAGAUAGUAGUAGUAAUAACUUUGGAUCAACGUUUUUACUAGUUGAUUGUUGGCCGCCAUGAAUGAUGAAACAGUUACAGUAGUAGUAGUACUUCCAGUAAAAUGAGGCCGAAAGACAAAUACGCCUGUUCAUCGCAUGCUCAUAAAUCAUACUAAUACAGAGUUAGUUCAGACUUGUUCGAUUUUAAACAUCCUUCUUGACAGUGACAGCAACUAAAUAAUGCGUUAAGUUGGUUGGAGUGAUAUUUAUGGUGCAAACGUCAUCCGCAAUGGGUAUUAUUGUGUUGUAUAAUUACUAGUACUACAUAUCCAGGCAAGAAUAAAAGAAAAAAAAAAGUCGUAGGAAACAACAACAAAACAUGAUGGAUUAGCUUUCUUAUGAACAUUUUUUUUUAAAAAAAAAUGACAAUAAUAAAGCAGCAAGUCAAGUCAUGCAGAAUUUGGUAAAACAGGAGAAUGAGUUCGAGCUGUGGCAGUCCGUGGUCGUAAGACAGAAUGCACUCCCCUUCCAAAAAAAAAAAAGAAGACAGAAUGCACUCACUCAGUCACCGGCGAAUGGCCUCCACAUCCCAUCCCAACUACUCCGUAUAAUGAAAUAAUAAUCUCAUCUCAACAGUAGCAGAAGCUGGGAGUCUCAGCUAAAAGCUUUACUCGCUACAUUAAGAGAAAAAAAGGAGUGGGUACAGGUUUAGACUUCCAAUCAUGACAACACACACAAUAUUAACACGCUGACCCAUUAGUCCCCACUCCCGAACGUUAUCAAUUUCGACUAGACUUGCACCUACAGUCAGUAAUGCAAAUUCCUGAAGCAGGAUCAGGAUCAGGCAUCUAUGAAUCGGAUAUCAAACGUGUUCGGGUGGAUCUGCCACACGUUCAAGGCUGCAUAUUCUUCCAAACAUUCUUUCAAUUGGCCUUCACUGUAUCCCUGGUAUAUUAUAACAACAAAGACAGCUCACAUCAGGGCACAGGGUACUAAACUGUCAUGGUAAAAAAAAGGUCGAAGAAACACAACAAAUCAUUAAGUGUUAGUUAUGCUUUCCCAGUUUCGCUUGGUUUCCAGGGAAAUCCUCGCUAAAUUUAAAAGUAUUAAGCUUUCGCAUGCUAACCUUUCGAGAAAUCCAGUUAAGGGCAUGGGCAUAGCUUAUAUCCAUCCUGUUUGCCCUUGCAGCUUCAUCACGUAAGAUUGAAUAUAUAUCUGAGAUUGCAUCCAAGCCUGAUCUUCGGCGAUCAUCUGAAUACAAAGAGAACUUUGACAUUUGCAUUAAUCUUAGGGCCUCGUCCACAUCACUCUGGGCAACAGUGUCGGAGAACCGAAGUCUAGCCAGUGCCUAAAACAUAAAUAAAUAAACAAACAAUAAACAGAAAGAGAGAGAGAGUUUACAUGUCAAUCAGACAGUUAUUAGAAUGGAAUAUAUAGCAUGCCAUCUACAAUUUGCCACCUCAGAACCCCAACAAAAAUAAAAAUAAAAAAGUAUCUAGCCACUCCACUUACAGCUGAUAUUCUGAGAAUGCUGAGCAGGGUUCUAACAGUGGUAUACGAAUGGGGUGUAUUUGAUUUUGCCUCCUCUUGCCUUAUACUGGAAUAUGCAGUAGCUAUAUACUCCUCCAACUCCCUUGGGACAGAAGGAGACAGUUUUCUUGCCGCCGAUAUAUAGGCCCUGGUAACAAUUAUUAAAAAUCCAUAGCAAAUCAUGUUGAAGUUAGAAAAAUGGUCUCUCAUAUUUUUCAUUCAGUACAUUAUGACCAGGCUAAACUAGGAAAUCCCAUCCCAAAAUGUCCAGUUUUAAACCAAAAGUACAAGGUUUAAUGUUACCGCAGGACAGAUGGUUCAAGUGGAGUAAAUCCAAGAGCAGGAGACUCUUUGUUCUGGUGGACAUAUACAACAUGCCUAGCCAUUUCAAGAUCAGCAUCCAUAUCCGCUCUAUCUAAGAUCAACCAUAGAAGGUCAAAUCUUGAUAACAGCGCUGGAGGGAGAUUGAUGUUUUCGGCUGGUGUUCUUCGCAAGUCAUAUCUUCCCCUAAGGAAAAAAAUUCCAAAUGAUAAUAAACUUUUCUAUUUCUGACGCAUGCGUCACUGUGGAGGAUAUCAUGUGAAAGUGUAACAGAAAAAGCAUAGAAAAUAAAAAGAAAAGGAAACAACUCAUAUAAGAUGUAUCAAGUGUUUACCAUGCUGGAUUAGCAGCAGCAAGGACAGCGGUCCUCGCAUUCAAAGAUGUAGUAAUCCCAGCCUUUGCAAUACUCACAGUCUGCUGCUCCAUUACUUCAUGUAUCGCUGUUCGAUCAGAUUCGUCCAUCUUGUCAAAUUCAUCAAUAGCGCAUAUACCCAUGUCAGCUAAAACCUGACACAAAGUAAUAUAAGAUAAGAGCCUUGACGGCUUGUAAUGAGAAAAUAAACUCUGAGAAAUUAACUGAGACAACAACAUCAGGCUAUGACCCCACAAAGCUUGACAACCCAAUGCUCAUGCAUAUCUGAUUUCCCAUCUUCAAUUGGUUUACUUUACUUUACCAGAUCUUCUACACGUAAUUCUUUGGAUUGCCCCUUGAAAAUAAAAAACAGAAUCAUAUGAAAGCAAACCAUAUUCUUACCAAUGCUCCACCUUCGAGAACCAUUUCAUAUGUCACUGGGUCCUUCUGAACGGCUGCAGUUAGACCAACUCCACUGCUUCCUCUGCCAGUGGUGUAUACACCUCUUGGUGCAACAUUAAUUAUGUGCUUAAGAAGCUGACUUUUUGCAACACCUGGAUCACCCAUCAAACAAAGAUGUACGUCUCCUCUAAUCUGCAUUUUACGAAAGAAAACUCAAUUUUAGAUCCUUAAGCGAGCAGAAAAUUCAAGAUUCUCCUCAGAAAGCAAAAAGGUAAUCUGAGAAAUUAUCUGUGCACACAAGAUUAAGGUACCAUCAUUCUAUUUACUGUUAUCCAGAAUUCAUUGCAGCAGUCAUUAAGCAAUACCCAGCAUCAUUUUCCUAGUAGAGAGUUCUUGACAAAAGUAGGAUUAUUUUUCCUGAAACAGGAGCAAUGAAAGUAAUCUGUGGGCCAUGCAUUACCUUCAUACCGUCCUUUAAUUUCCGAUGAGGAGCACCAACUAGAAGAAGAAGAAGAGCUUUCUUAAUAUCUUCAUGUCCAAAAAUUUCCGGAGCUAAAGAGCGUGCCAACUUAUUGUAAAUAUCACCAUCCUCAGCUAAGCGCAAUAUCUGUUCUUCCUCAUCUCCUCUGAGUUCAUAUCUGCAUUUAGAAACGAGAAGAUUAUAAGGAACCAUGUUUUGCACAAAUAUUUGUGUCUCUGGUUGAAACAUUUGAUUCAUUAAGAUUAGACAAGCCUUACUCCUCAUAUUUUUUCUUGAAAUGGGUAACAGACAUGGCUUCCAAAUACGUAUCUGCAAUUAAACCAGCCCGCAUGGCUCUGAAUCCAGUGUAAGGAAUGGGAAGGAAGAUCCCUGAUAACUCAACCACAUCUCCAGGAGAUACCUACAAGGUCGGAAGGAGAUCAAUGUCAGACUAAUAAAAUAUUGUAUAAAAACUGCAGAAGCUAUCCAAUGAAAACGAAUCAGGAUAAGUUAAAUAUUGACUCCUUUUGCAGUUUUGAUUAACAGUCCCUUAACUCAGGCAGCACUUGUUAACGGGCCAAGCAGGUCCUCUCAGGAAAAGCACUGAAAAUACUUUAGGGUUUCCCAAAAACACAGCAAUCAGCUGAAUAAGACAGAUUCGGCUCCGUUCUAUAAAUAACAAUCUGCACACUCGUUUGGGCAUAUAUUUUAAGCAACCAAAUUGGUUAGAAAACUACUUCGCGGGAUAUUACAACUCCAUGAUUUCAAUUUACAGAAGUACUGGAAGUUGUCCAAGAUGCACAUUCAUGAUUUCACAAAUACAGUAACAAGCUUGGUAUCAGCAGAACUACAGGUUCAGGAAGAGUCCUUCAUAAGGAGAAAUUUCUAGGAAUUCAUUCAUUGCUUACCUUCCUUGUGAGUUCUCCCCUGAAAUGGACUGUCAUUGUUCGAGGAAUAUGACCUUUGGGGACAUGUUCUGCCAAUUCCUGGAUUUUUGCCUGAAAGUACAGUAUGAAACCAUGUAAUAUGUAGCUCACGGAAAAACUAUCCUCGAGAGAUAAGACUCAGUCUUGACAAACCUCCUGAAACUUCAAAAACUUUGAUGCCCUGAGCUGGUGGAUAAGGUUGCCUUUAGUUUUAUUUAUCUUGCAGCGUUGGGAUGGGCACUCAAACAGAGGCAUAAAAACUCUAGAAGUAACCUCCUGAGAUCACAUAAACAACCACUCAGAGACUCGUGAGAAGAAGAAAAAAGUAAACAGGAAUCAGUUUCGUGUCAGGUUGCUAGAGAAUCAAGAGAAUAGUAUUUCUGCAAUUGCGAGGCAAUAAUGGAGAGAACAAAGAUGGUUACACCAAAGAUGCAAACUUAGCAUAACAUGCAAUAGCAAAUGCACAAACCAAAGUACAUUUCAAAAGAGAAGGAAAAUAUUUCAACAUUAUGGUCUAGUAAAUACCAGUAGAGAUUGAAAGCAUGCAAACCUGGUAAAUUUCAAAUCCACAUUCUUCACAAGUAUAAACAGCUACUUGAAUCAGUGGCUUCACAUCAGAGCAACGCGUAACAAUCCCCGAUAUCCUCACGAGCUGGCCAAUGUACGAAGCCUUCACCUCCCUGAUUGUGAAAGGCCUUCCUUUUGGAGAUGCUCUGAUGUAAACUUCACUGUUUCCGUAUAGAUUCAGACUUUAGCAAGAUGCUCGCUUCAGGAUAAAGAUUAUUUUUCUUUUGAAUAUUUGACAAUUUAAAGUAGCCAUGAAAAUUACCCGAAAGAAAUAAAAUUAAGAAGAACGUGCCAUUCUAACAAAUAAAGACGCUUAGUGGUUUGCCAAUAUUUUGAUUUUUAGUUUUGUUUACAGGAAAAUGAACUGAAGCAUAAGUUGUGCUACCGGAUAACAAUAAGCUAUGUAGAAGCUUACAAAUAACGUUUGAUUUCAGGAGGCAUCUUCUGCUGGGGAUCGGAACCAUCGGCAUUCUCAGUUCCUUCCUCGGACCUCUGGGUCAUUAGGAUAUCUUGAUCAUCGUCAGGGAAGGGCUCGGUGGCCUCAGGCAUGAGCUCAUCAAUUGUGUUGGCAAAAAUUUGUAUGUAACGCCGGGUAUUUUCCGUGACCCGCCUAAGGAAGUCUUCAUCCAAGUCCUUGUACUGAUAUUUAAACAACUUCAUCACCGACAACGAAUUUACAGGAUCAAGUUUAAAUGACAGGCAAUGAAUAGGACAUUAGAGUUUCAAACGAGAUUACAUUCACUAAAUCUUCAAGCUCGAUGUGAACGGCCUUCAUUUUAUGAUUCGCAACAUCUUGCUGAAAUUCAAAAGACACGUAUGUAGAGAUCCAUAAAUUUACCAAGAAAGAGAGAAAUGCAAAAACAAACAUAAUCAUAUAUGUAAAUAUGUAUAGACACGCGCAUAAGGGGAUCCGGUGAAAAUUAAGAACAAAACUGAGGAGAAUAAUCUCACAAGCAUAUUCAUGUAUUUGGCUUCUCCAUCUGGAUCCGCAAAGUGAGAAAGAAAAUCUUUUGCCAGAUCUGAAGAUUAAGCAAAACAGACGAUAAAUUUCGGGCACCCGCGAUGCAGCAGUUUCCAAUGCGCAUACCCCUUCCCCUGCGCCGGGGAUGGGGGGGGUGGGAAGAGAGAUCUCACCUUUAUCUCGGUCGAAGUCGAGAUUGUCCAUCGCCGCCAUCUUCUGGAGCUUGACAGUAAAUCGAGGAUUCCAGUAAGAGGAGCUAGGGACCUGGGGGCAGGGAAAAAGGAUAUGGGUUGAAAGAGGACUAAAGAAUUGGCGGCAAAACAGAUGGCCGUCCUAGAGAGAUUUGGCGGGAAAAGUAUAGUACGACGACGAUAGCAUUAGAUUUUUCUAUAUCACUCCUCGUAUUGAAGUAAUUUUCUGCCAUCCACCCAUUUGGAUAAUUGAGUUUUUCAAAAAUUAGUUUUUUAAAUAUUAUAAACAAUUUUAAAAAGUAAUCUCAAUUUUCUAAUGUUUAAAAAAUAUUUUAAAAAUUUUAUUGCUCUUAAAUAUUUUAAAAUAUAUUCUAAAAAUAUUCUAAAAUAUAAUAUAAAAACUCUGUUACAAUAAAAAAAUUUAAAAAUAACUAAUUUAAACGAAGCGUCACCACAAUUUUUUAAUGAUAAAUAUACCCUUCACAACUCAAAUAUUUGGCCCAUGUUGAAAAGAGUAAACUUGCCAUUUUAAUACAAUUUCUCAGCUGUGACAUGAACACCAACCUUCGCAAUAUUCUUUCUAAUUUUUCUUUAAUGUCACCUUAGUCUCUAAGACCAAUUGUCCCCAGUCAAGUGACAUGUGGGGUUAAGACACGGAUGAUGGGUUUUGCAAUACGAGUCCCUCAAUUCAUUUUUGUGCCACCACAGUCCUUUACGUAAUAAUCAAUUAGAAUUGCUCAUUGCAACUUGGAUAUUUGUUACUCAACAAGAUAUUAGUUUCUUUGGAUUUUUUCUGAGAAAAAACCGGUGAAAUGGUGGGAAAAAUCUGCUAAAAAAUUUUAAAAAUCUUAGGGUCCAUUUGGUUGGACUAAAAAUAUUUUCCUUUGGUUAGGAAAAUAUUUUCCAUUGAAGUCAUAUUCCUGAAAAAUCACUUCCUUCCCCAUAAUUUUCCAGUGUUUGGUUAUUAAGUGAAAAUAUUUUCCAAAUUCCUUUUUUCAUAAUUUUCCGGUGUUUGGUUUGUCAAUGAAAAUAUUUUCUAAUAUGUUUGUUGAUAUGUUGCAAAUAUUUUUCUACUCUCAAAACAUUCAUUUCAUUACAAGUUAAUUUUAGUUUCUAUCCAUUAUAAUCAUAUUAUCAUUUCUAUAAAAUAUUUAUUCCUAUUACACAACUUCCUAAAUUAUGUGUAAGGAUCUAAAACUUAAAUUUCCUUUGAGAUCUCUAUAUGUGAAUCUCAGGGAUGAACAUGGUCACCAACAUUGAUUCUCUUCGUAGGAACCUGAGCAACAACUCUUUUCGACCGUCACAAGUUCCAGCAUGGUUCUCAACCUUAAAGUCACUAACCACUUUGUGAGUAUUAAUCACUAUGGAAUCAAUACUAAAAACUCCUUCAUUUUUCUUAUUAAAAUUUAUGGAAUGGUGAUCAGGGCUUUGAAAAAUGCUCCACUCCAGGGACAAGUACCCCAGCAACUUUUUAGUUUACCUCAGAUCCAAAUAGUGUAUGUUUAAAAAUAAGCAAUCUCGAAGAAAGAAAGCAUUUGGAUGCUACCUGGAGAAGUGAAAGAACUUAUUUUGCUAGCAUUAACUUUUAACAGGAUUCUGAGGAAGAACGCAUUCAAUGAUACAUUGGAUAUGAGUAACAACAUUAGCCAAUUCUCUUUCCUAACCAAACUGCUAAAUAUUCUCUCUUUACUCCAGCUUGAUGAGGAAUCUAGUAUGCACAAGUUCAAUCGCAAGCACAUCUUACUGUCAGCCACAGAAACGAUCUGCAACAAAUUGUUCAACCAGCCUCAAGUGCUGCACCGUCUUCUCCAAAACCCAAAACUUAGGAAGCUGUGCAAUUUUCUCUCCAAAUCAACCUUUAUUUAUGCUGUAUAAAUUAGAAUCCAUAAAUAAUUUUGCCACAAAAUGUGCAGCCAGAUCAUCAACCAACUUGAUAUUUGGUAUCUGGUAAUGAAAACUAAUUAUCAUCUUCUUUAAGGACCAACUUAAGCAACAAGCCAAGCAGAAUACCACAAAACAUGCAAUCAUUUAAGACACAAAAUUGAAGAAAGAAUAAUUUGUCUUUGACGUAAGCAGAUGAUAAACUUAAGUAACAAGCCAAGGAGAAUACCUCGGUAUAACCAUUACCAAUACCCACACCUUUUGAAUCAGAAAAUAAUCAUAACUGAAACCUUUAUCCUAGGAAUUUACAUCAAUACACAACUUGCAGCAACACCAACACCGCUAUUGCCAACAUUAUGCAGUUAGGUCUGCAACAUUGAUUCUAACAAGUAUGUCUUCUUUUGACAACUAUGGUUCCAGACAGAAAAAACAAAGCACUCUCCAAGGGUCAGUUUCCACCAAGAGAAAAUUGCUUAGUGUCUUUAAAUAGUCACAAUCAACAUCUUGUUCAUCUGAUCAUACUACAAGCAAUAACCACUGAUUACAACAAAAACAAGAAUGUAAGCUUAAUGAAACAGUCCAAGCUCCCAUGUCCAUUCCGCAGCUUCGUAAAAAUCAUUAAAGGACAUUGCUCUAAACAAACUAGUAUACAACACUAGAACACCGGCAAAUGCCAACAAUUGAAAUCCACAAGAAGCUUAGGAGGACAAAUGAUAAUCCGUCAACAACCGUAACAAACAUAUUCAAUUACAACUUCCUCAAUAGUCCAUAUCCUAAAGAACAAACUCUGCUCCAAAUGAACAAACUAAAUGCCUAAGUCAAGCAACUCUCCACCCCAAAUCUUUAAAGAUAGUCAGAAUUGCAAGUUCAAGUUCCCAAUAGAUAAAAAGCCAGUGAAAUUAAUAAUCAUAUUUCUAGAAUCAUAAAACCCCCAAAAUUCAGCAGCCAAAUUAAUUCAUUAGCAUCAAUCAAAUCAAAUGUAACUCUAAUCAGGUAAGAACAAACUAAAACAAAAGCAACCCACAAAAAUUCAUUCAAAUCCAACUUUGAAAGGAAACAGACGAAAUUUGUGUGCAAUUGUAUAUACAAACACAGUGAAGCUGUUUAUGCGUGAAGACGAGAAACUGAGAGUUAAAAAAACCUGCCGAAUGAAGAUGACUCAUGAGUAUAUAGAAUAUGUAGUGGUAGCCGCCGAGAUAGUGUCGCCGGAAGGGGUGAUCGCCACUGAGGACUGACGCCGGAAGAAGCGGGAAUGGGGGUUCUUCGGGAAUGAAAGGGAAAAAAAAUGAGAGAGAGAAAGAGAGAGAGAUGCCGGAGUAGUUUACCAGAUGAGAUGCCGGGAAUGAAAGGUAUUGUCCCUUGGAUUUGUUUGUUGAUGUCGAAAAUCCUUGCGAGGCUGUGAAAAAAAGGCUGAGGAAAAUAACUUCACAAUAAAGGCUAAGGAAGUUAUUUUCCUCCCAUGGAUGUAACUUAUUUUCUGUCAUAAAUUAUUUUCUCUAAUUAUUUGGUUACCAAACACUGGAAAAUCUGGAAAAUAUUUUCCACCCAAACAAACAGACCAUUAAUGGAAUAAAAUUUCGUAUAAUUAAUUGUGCCAAAUCAUAAUCAUCAAAUCCAGAUAGUAUAUGAUAGUGGUUAUUAUAAAUGGGAUAAUCUAUGAGUCUUAGGAUAGCUAGACUGCCAUCAUUAAUAAAUUUCUGUCAGGCAAGAGCUCCUGAGCCAGGUUCGGUCAGUAGCAGAUUUGGGAAAAGAAUUUGGGGAGAAGAGAGAAUUGAGUGAAAAGAGAGAGAAGGCAAGAGAGAUUAACCGAGAAGAGAGAGAAAGUGAUUCUGGUAUUAAGCUUUUGAUGAUCCCAUAACAGCAAAUGAAUGGGAUCUUAUACAAUUCUGUUGUCUGUUGCAACUAACUCUAACUAACUGAAUUAAUCUAACUACGUCAUUUAAGACGUUAUGCAAUACAAUCACCAAACGCACAGCACUCCUCACCAAACGACAUCCCUUAGACGUUGGGACCUGACAUUCCCUUCCUAAUAAGGAAUGAGCUUGUCCUCAAGCUGAAAAAUCAGGAAACUGCUUGUCAAUGAACGUUUUGUCCUCCCAAGAUGCCUCAGUUUCUGGCAAAUGAUUCCAUUUGACCAAAUAUUGAAUGAUGAGUUGAGAGUUUCGUAGAACAACCCUCCUCCUUACUACCCUCUCCGGCUGUAAAAUACACUGGUCAGAAGCAUCAAACUCAGGCAGGGUAGGUUCAGUGCCCUGGCCUACCCCAACCUUCUUCUUCAACAGAGAAAUGUGAAAAACUGGGUGUAUUCUGGCCUUCUCCGGAAGCUGUAGCUUGUAAGCUGCUGCACCAAUCUUCUCAAUAAUCUGGAAGGGUCCAUAGUACUUAGGAGACAAUUUUAAACUCUUCCUGAUGGCCACUGUCUGCUGUCUAUAAGGCUGCAGUUUCAGGAAGACCCAUUCACCUACUUGGAAGGACCUCUCUGUCCUAUUUUGAUCAGCAAAGUGUUUCAUUCGAUUCUGAGUCUUGGCCAGAUUAUCUUUGAUGUUUGCUAGAACCUGAAGUCUCUUCUGUACCAUACCAACAGCUGCCGGUACAACACUAUCAUGGAAGGGUCCUAAAGGCAGAUGCAAUGGUUUAUAUCCAUAUAAAGCUUCAAAAGGGGUCAGCUGCAGACUUGUGUGAAAAUUAGUAUUAUACCACAGCUCAGCUGCAGACAACCAAGUACUCCAGUGGGAUGGAUAUUCACUACACAUACACCUCAAGUAGCUUUCAAGACACUGAUUAACCCUUUCACUCUGACCAUCAGUUUGAGGCCGAUAUGAUGAACUAUACUGCAAUCCAACCCCCAAGGCACGAAACAACUCCUGCCAGAAUUUGCUAAUGAAGACUUUGUCCCUGUCAGAGGUAAGGGACUCAGGUAGACCAUGCAACUUAUACACCUGGUCAAGGAACGACUGAGCUACCUGGUGUGCAGAAUAAGGGUGGGAUAACUUCAUGAAGUGACUGUACUUAGUGAAACGAUCCACCACUACCAGAAUGGUAUCAUACCCAUUAGAUAGAGGCAGCUGCUCGAUAAGAUCUAUAGUCAGGUGUGUCCAUGCCUGUUGAGGAACUGGAAGUGGUUGCAGUAGUCCUGGAUAAGGGACAUUUUCAUGCUUAUUCCUCUGACAAGUAUCACAAGCCUGAACAAACUGUACAACAUCCCUUUUUAUGCCUGGCCAGUAGAAUAUAGAUUGUAUCCUUUGUAGACAGGCUCUUUGACCAGAGUGACCCCCAACAGCUGAAUCGUGUAGAGCCUUGAUCAAGCUGUGCCUGAUUCCAUUAGCUGCUCCCACAUAUAGUUUUCCCUUGAAUUUGAGCAAUCCUUUCUCCAGCUGGUACCCUGAACAAGCAUUAGGGUCUAACAACAAUUGAGACAUGAUAUCCAAAGCUACAAUGUCACCAUCAUAACUCCCCACUAGCUCCUUCACCCAAACUGGUUGCACAGCUGAGAGCACACAGAGGUGCUUUCCUUUGUCUGGCUCCUCGUUUCCUCCAUCCAACCUCCUUCUAGACAGGGCGUCAGCUACCCCAUUUUCAGUCCCCUUUUUAUACUGAAUCUCAUAGUCCAGGCCAAGUAACUUGGUAAGCCACUUGUGCUGUAAAUGAUGGGUAAGUCUUUGCUCCAACAGAUACUUAUUCCUAAGUUCUGAGGAGAGAGGGCUUUGCUAAUGAAAGCUAUGGGGUGGCCCUGCUGCAUUAACACUGCCCCAAUGCCCACACCACAAGCAUCAGUUUCUAUCAUAAAAGGAAGCUCAAAAUUUGGCAUUUUGAGAACUGGUGCAGUAGUCAUGGCCCUUUUGAGAUCUUCAAAUGCUAACUGAGCAUUGUGACUCCAUACAAAGCCUUCCUUUUUCAGCAACUGAGUUAAUGGUUUACAGAUGAUCCCAUAUCCCUUAAUAAACCUUCUAUAGUAUCCAAUUAACCCCAAGAAUCCUCGCAAGUCCUUAACUGUGCCAGGAGUAGGCCAUGAUUGGAUACAUUCCACCUUGCUCAUGUCCAUACUCACUCUUUUCUUAGAAAUAAUGUGUCACAAAUACUCCACUGAAGUUUGAGCAAAAGAAUAUUUAGACUUUUUGCAAUACAGCUGGUUGUCAGCUAAGAUGCUCAACACAAUCUUCAAAUGCUGUGCGUGUGCUUCCAGUGUAGGACUAUAAACCAGAAUGUCAUCAAAGAAAAUCAAUAUGAACUUCCUCAUAUAAGGUUGAAAUAUUCUGUUCAUCAAAGAUUGGAAAGUGGCUGGUGCAUUAGUGAGGCCAAAUGGCAUCACCAAAAAUUCAAAAUGGCCAUGGUGUGUCUGGAAAGCAGUCUUAGGUAUGUCUGCUGUCUUGACUCUCAGCUGAUGAUAUCGAGCUCUGAGGUCUAGUUUAGACAUAUACUUAAUCCCAUGUAGUUCAUUCAACAGCUCAUCAAUGUUUGGGAUAGGGAACCUGUCCUUGACAGUAAGUUCAUUUAGCUUCCUAUAAUCCACACAUAGCCUCCACGUAUUGUCUUUUUUCUUAACCAACAGCACAAGAGAAGCAAAAGGACUACAACUGUGCUUAACAAUCCCAUUUGUAAGCAUUUCAACCACCUGUUUUUCAAUCUCAGAUUUAUGUGCGUGGGGGUACCUGUAAGGUUUAAGUUUAAAUGGCUUUGCUCUUGGCUUCAAGGUAAUUUGAUGAUCUAAUUCCCUCUCAGGAGGCAGUCCUUGAGGGGUUUCAAACACCUGAGAGUACUGUUGCAAGACUGAGGCCACUUGUUUUGGAAUAUCCUCCUCUUGAUUGCCCUGGGGGUCCACCUGUAGAGAGGCACAGCUCCUUUGCUUUUCUUGUAUAAAUGUUCUAAGAUCUUUACCUCUUACUAGUUUCAUCACAGGUUGGUUAAUGAAGCCUUGGAGAUGUAAUAAGUCACCCCUGCUACUAAGAGCAAUACUGAGUGCAUGGAAAUCAAAAGUGAUGGGACUGAAUUGACACAUCCAGUCAACUCCUAAGAUGAUAUCGCAGUUCCCUAACUCCAUUAUCUUCAGAUCGAAUUGGAACUGAUAGUCCUGUAUUAACCAUCUAACACCUGGACAAAUUGUGCCACUAGUGAUGUCAGUGCCAUCUGCCAAAGUUACAGUAAAAGGUCUGACUGUUUGAUAAAGGAGCUGAAGAGACUUAACCAAUUGAUAGUGUAUGAAGCUGUCAGAACUACCAGUGUCCACCAGGAUCUUGACAGGUAUUCCACCUAAGUUGCCUAGUAGCAAAAUGGAUUUCCUCUGUAUUGCUGCUGCUAGAGCAUUCAGUGACACUUCAGCCAAUUCUCCUACCCUCCCAGUCAGCUCAUCUUGUUCUCCUUCCGCAUCUUCGAAUUCAGCUUCAUCCUCUUCCUCUAUACCUACACAGUUCAAUCCCCCAGACUUACACUGGUGACCAACUCCAAAUUUAUCCCCACAUCUAUAACAUAGGCCAUGCUUACGCCUAUACUGCAUUUCCUCAGCCAAAAUCCUACUCACUUCUCUGGAUCUAGUGUCAACCUUCCUAUUAGUAGGAUCAAUAGCAGGAAGUUUAUAGGAGCUGGAAUUGUUUUGGCUAUUACUGUGAUUUCUAAACAUCCCAUACUUAGGUUCAACCGCAGUCCUUCCUGAGGUCUUAGGUUGCUUGGACAUGGUUUCCAGUGAGCAUUCCUGCAAUUCAGCAACCUCAAACGCUUUGGAUAGAGUCUGUGGUUUGAACAUUUUGACCAUUGGUUUAAUCUCAUCCUUUAAACCACUAAUGAAACUGGAUAUAAAAUAACCUUCAUCCAGCCUAGGAUUUCUGAUCAACAUGAGCGUUUUCAAUUCCUCAAACUUCUCCUCAUACUCUUUUACUGUCCCUUUUUGUUGUAAUUUGUUGAAUUCCUCAACCACAUCACGUGACCACUUCCCUGCAAACCUUUCAUACAACAGCUCGCAAAAUUCAGACCAAUUCAACCUAGGUUUUUCCAGUCUAACUCCCUGGAACCAAUUAUCAGCUCUCCCUUCUAAAAACAUUUCUACCAUAUCUACCCUUUGAUUUUCAGGUAUUUGAUAAUUCAAAAAGUAUUUAUGGCAUUUCCUCAACCAUUCUCUAGGAUUACCAGAUGCGAACAUAGGCAUUUCAAGUCUUGGCAAGCUGGGAGUAAAAAUCUUAGCUGUAACCUCCGGUUGAGCUCCAUGCACCUCUGUGGACGUCAUGAGCUUAAAAUGCGGUGGAGGAGUCGGUAGGAGUGGUUCCGAUGAGCCUGCCUCUGUCUCCGGCAUACUUUUUUCUUUCAUCAUCACCUUCAGUAGCGCAUUGAGUUUCAUUUCCAUCUUACUGAACCUCUAGUCCAGGUUGCCUACCAUCGCCUCUACCUUCGCGUUGUUCUGCCCAAGCUCCUCCUGAAGUUUCUGCUGCAAGCUAUUCUGGCAGGAGGUCUGAACUGCGGCCAUGGUCUCCAUUACCUCCUGAAGUCGAGUUUCUUGUUUCUUGAGCUGUUCCUCCAGAGAAUGAUACCUGGUGUUUUCAGCCAUGGGUAGUGCCUCCAGCAGCCAAGGAUCGGCUGCUUUGAUACCAAUUGUCAGGCAAGAGCUCCUGAGCCAAGUUCGGUCAGUAGCAGAUUUGGGAAAAGAAUUUGGGGAGAAGAGAGAAUUGAGUGAAAAGAGAGAGAAGGCAAGAGAGAUUAACCGAGAAGAGAGAGAAAGUGAUUCUGGUAUUAAGCUUAUGAUGAUCCCAUAACAGCAAAUGAAUGGGAUCUUAUACAAUUCUGUUGUCUAUUGCAACUAAUUCUAACUAACUGAAUUAAUCUAACUACGUCGUUUAAGACGUUAUGCAAUACAAUCACCAAACGCACAGCACUCCUCACCAAACGACAUCCCUUAGACGUUGGGGCCUGACAAUUUCAUAGCGAGCAUUAGGCACGCACCCUGGAUGCUACUG
This 21795-nucleotide long non-coding RNA is filed under the name Coffea arabica (coffee). RNAcentral describes it as "long non-coding RNA (CARA_LNC000834)". The record is from RNAcentral. Lineage: Eukaryota; Viridiplantae; Streptophyta; Magnoliopsida; Gentianales; Rubiaceae.